Molecule: ribosomal RNA, 423 nt
Filed under: uncultured bacterium
Lineage: Bacteria
Description: bacterial SSU rRNA
Rfam family: Bacterial small subunit ribosomal RNA
Source: RNAcentral
UAGGGAAUAUUGGGCAAUGGCCGAGAGGCUGACCCAGCCAUGCCGCGUGCAGGAAGAAGGCCUUCUGGGUUGUAAACUGCUUUUAUCUAGGAAGAAAACGCCCCUGCGGGGGUAACUGACGGUACUAGAUGAAUAAGCACCGGCUAACUCCGUGCCAGCAGCCGCGGUAAUACGGAGGGUGCAAGCGUUGUCCGGAUUUAUUGGGUUUAAAGGGUGCGUAGGCGGCCCGUUAAGUCAGCGGUGAAAUCCCAGGGCUCAACCCUGGAACUGCCGUUGAUACUGACGGGCUUGAGUUCGGUUAAGGCGGGCGGAACUGGUGGUGUAGCGGUGAAAUGCAUAGAUACCACCAAGAACCCCGAUUGCGUAGGCAGCUCGCUGAGCCGAAACUGACGCUGAGGCACGAAAGCGUGGGGAGCGAACAGG